RNA transcript from Durio zibethinus, 2490 nucleotides. It is a transcript of the gene named Late embryogenesis abundant (LEA) hydroxyproline-rich glycoprotein family, with no coding region annotated. The record is from RefSeq and is a predicted model, not a curated record. NCBI's taxonomy places the organism in Eukaryota, Viridiplantae, Streptophyta, Magnoliopsida, Malvales, Malvaceae.
CUGGUACACCAAAGAAGCGUCCACCUCCUACUUUUGGCCUCAUCGAAUGUAAACCCUCUACCAAAAAAAACACGACCGAAGGUCCAAAAUCGACCUCCAGAGCAAAAAUGUCGAAACGGGACUUGCGAGACUCUUCCGUGCCGUACACACUUCUCCAUCCAAACCCUAAUCAACAAAACGUCAUAGUGUUACCUGUCUAUUACCACCGUCCUAACCAAAUCAACUGUUGUAUCCGCCGUUGCCUCACUUUCACCGGCAUCGUCCUCCUCCUCUCAACCGCUGUAUUCUUCCUCUACCCUUCCGAUCCAACUCUCCAACUCGCCCGACUUCAACUCAACCACGUGGAAGUGAUCUCGUCGCCCAAACUCACUCUAGACCUCUCUUUUUCUUUGACCAUCAGGGUCCGUAACAGGGACUUCUUCUCUUUGGACUAUGAAAAGCUUGAUGUUUCGGUUGGGUAUAGAGGGAGGGAGCUUGGGGUGGUGAGUUCGGAAGGAGGGCGGGUGAGAGCCCGAGGGAGCUCGUACGUGAACGCCACGCUAGAUUUGGAUGGGUUUGAGGUUGUUCACGAUGUGAUUUAUUUGAUCGCGGAUUUGGCUAGAGGGGUUAUUCCCUUUGAUACUAAUACUAAGGUUGAUGGAGUUCUUGGUCUUUUCUUCUUUAAUAUCCCCCUCAAGGAAGGGAGGUUCUGUAGGUUGGUGAUUGAGAUGGCUAAUUCCUGACAGCUAAGCUAUGGAGAUGUGUGAAGGCAGAAGUAUCAUGUGAGGUGUAUGUAAAUACAAAUAACCAGACAAUUGUUCGUCAGGACUGCUAUGCCGAGUAAAGUGGUGGACAGCUCCAAUAUACCAGUUUGGCCAAUUGAUGUAGUGGAAGCCAGUAACAGACUUGGAUAGUUUGGUGAUUCUGUUCUUCCUUGAUUAUACUGUACAUGUUAAUGUAAGUGAUCAAACAUCAUAGUUCAGUUAGUUGGUGCAUAUAACUAGCAGUUAUAAACCCAUGAUUGGAUUAAAAUGAUAUAUUCAACUAAGGAUUUUUUCUGUAUCUUUCUUUAUAUAAUGAUUGUUACAUGGACUUGAGUUUCUAUGAGAAAUGAACACCAAAUUGAAUUUACAUAAGAGGGAGAGGAAGGACGGGGCAAGGAGGUUAAAGAAGAGAAGGUCGGGAGUUGAGGCGUAGGGCAUGGGAAAAAGCAAAAAUAGGGCAAGAAACCGAUUUGGGAGCAUUUCUAUAAGUUUGCAGGAUUAACCAAUCAAUCUUUAUAAAUUUUGUUUGUAGAUGAGGGAACGCCGGUUAUGAAUCAGUUAAAAUCAUUUGGUUCCUUUGUACAACUUAUUUUAGACCUUGAGCUAAAACUACCGGUCAUUUCUUGCUAACAAAUCGACCACCCCCACACAUACUCGGCAUAGUGGUGCGGUCAUUUCUGGCUCUGAAGAAUCGACCACCCCACACGUAUUCAGCAUGGUGGUGCCUACAGCGAAAUGACUUCGAAGGUGAACACAGACACUGCUUCAUCAUCGAACCAGCUCCACCAAUCUCUUUAGCCGCCUCAGUUCUUGGUACAUGAUGGGCUGCAGCCAUCAUUGACGCCAGCAAAACCAACCAUCUGCACUCACCGCCAGCCCCUGUUUGCCAGCGGAAGUAACUGUUGCAUAGCACAUUAUUCCUUUCUUCUUUUUUGCCCUUCUCUCCCUUCUGUCUUCCACUCUGGGUAUUAGUAUGUUGCUGUAUGACAGAGCUUGAAAAGCAAGGAAUAUGUGUUCUGGUGAGAUUAUAUAAGCGAAGGAUAGUAAGGAAUAAGGAGAGGUGGGCAAGUAAAACUUCGACUGGGUUUGGGAAGUAUCAGCUGUUCAUUUGCCUUCUUUACCAAAACAUGGCCUAAUAAACCGAUACUCGCCCACCAUGAUUCCAGUUCAAAAGCAGGUGCUGCCAUGCUCUUUUAUGUUAAACGUGGCAGCAUCUCAAAUGCUCAGUGGACAGAGCACAAAAGUUUUUUUUUUUUUUUUGGGUGCCCAAGGAGCAGCUAAGGAAAAGUUGAAAUCUGAGUGUGGAAAUGCAAAAUGAAGAGAUCAGUUUUUAGUUAGACACUUUUUGAAACCUGUCCGAUAAAUGCUUACUUUCAGUAAAGGUGCGCAUGUUUUCCCAAGGGGGAUAAGGUUCAGUUGGGCAGAAGCUGAAAAUUAAAUCAGGGUUGGCUUUGCAGGGGUACCAUAUUCUGAAGUUGGGGAAAAAAAAUAGGACAAUGGUUGAGCUGAUGCUGACGCUUUUCCUGGUCCUAUCCUCGUCAAAAGUACAUUUCUUAUUGGAUUCUAGCAAAGGACAAGACCUUUUGCCAAUUUGCCAUCAUACUAGAGAAAAAAAAAAGCGUGAAAUUGGGUAAACUAGUACUGUCGCCAGUAGGUUCUUUUUGGCACCUUACCAGAAAAAAAAAAGAUACUAGGUUGGUUUUUGACAGUAGCUUAUCUAAUGGACAAGGCAAUCACUUCAGAAGAA